GUUUCGUGGCGCAAUCGGUUAGCGCUUCGGCUGUUAACCGAAAGGUUGAUGGUUCGAAUCCAUCCAGAAACG
RNAcentral lists this transfer RNA (72 nucleotides) under Dendronephthya gigantea. RNAcentral describes it as "tRNA-Asn". It matches the Rfam family "tRNA". From Rfam's summary of the family: Transfer RNA (tRNA) molecules are approximately 80 nucleotides in length. Their secondary structure includes four short double-helical elements and three loops (D, anti-codon, and T loops). The record is from RNAcentral. Lineage: Eukaryota; Metazoa; Cnidaria; Anthozoa; Malacalcyonacea; Nephtheidae.